Molecule: ribosomal RNA, 2760 nt
Filed under: Escherichia coli
Lineage: Bacteria; Pseudomonadati; Pseudomonadota; Gammaproteobacteria; Enterobacterales; Enterobacteriaceae
Description: partial 23S ribosomal RNA
Rfam family: Bacterial large subunit ribosomal RNA
Source: RNAcentral
CACACUAUCAUUAACUGAAUCCAUAGGUUAAUGAGGCGAACCGGGGGAACUGAAACAUCUAAGUACCCCGAGGAAAAGAAAUCAACCGAGAUUCCCCCAGUAGCGGCGAGCGAACGGGGAGCAGCCCAGAGCCUGAAUCAGUGUGUGUGUUAGUGGAAGCGUCUGGAAAGGCGCGCGAUACAGGGUGACAGCCCCGUACACAAAAAUGCACAUGCUGUGAGCUCGAUGAGUAGGGCGGGACACGUGGUAUCCUGUCUGAAUAUGGGGGGACCAUCCUCCAAGGCUAAAUACUCCUGACUGACCGAUAGUGAACCAGUACCGUGAGGGAAAGGCGAAAAGAACCCCGGCGAGGGGAGUGAAAAAGAACCUGAAACCGUGUACGUACAAGCAGUGGGAGCCUCUUUAUGGGGUGACUGCGUACCUUUUGUAUAAUGGGUCAGCGACUUAUAUUCUGUAGCAAGGUUAACCGAAUAGGGGAGCCGAAGGGAAACCGAGUCUUAACUGGGCGUUAAGUUGCAGGGUAUAGACCCGAAACCCGGUGAUCUAGCCAUGGGCAGGUUGAAGGUUGGGUAACACUAACUGGAGGACCGAACCGACUAAUGUUGAAAAAUUAGCGGAUGACUUGUGGCUGGGGGUGAAAGGCCAAUCAAACCGGGAGAUAGCUGGUUCUCCCCGAAAGCUAUUUAGGUAGCGCCUCGUGAAUUCAUCUCCGGGGGUAGAGCACUGUUUCGGCAAGGGGGUCAUCCCGACUUACCAACCCGAUGCAAACUGCGAAUACCGGAGAAUGUUAUCACGGGAGACACACGGCGGGUGCUAACGUCCGUCGUGAAGAGGGAAACAACCCAGACCGCCAGCUAAGGUCCCAAAGUCAUGGUUAAGUGGGAAACGAUGUGGGAAGGCCCAGACAGCCAGGAUGUUGGCUUAGAAGCAGCCAUCAUUUAAAGAAAGCGUAAUAGCUCACUGGUCGAGUCGGCCUGCGCGGAAGAUGUAACGGGGCUAAACCAUGCACCGAAGCUGCGGCAGCGACACUAAGUGUUGUUGGGUAGGGGAGCGUUCUGUAAGCCUGUGAAGGUGUACUGUGAGGUAUGCUGGAGGUAUCAGAAGUGCGAAUGCUGACAUAAGUAACGAUAAAGCGGGUGAAAAGCCCGCUCGCCGGAAGACCAAGGGUUCCUGUCCAACGUUAAUCGGGGCAGGGUGAGUCGACCCCUAAGGCGAGGCCGAAAGGCGUAGUCGAUGGGAAACAGGUUAAUAUUCCUGUACUUGGUGUUACUGCGAAGGGGGGACGGAGAAGGCUAUGUUGGCCGGGCGACGGUUGUCCCGGUUUAAGCGUGUAGGCUGGUUUUCCAGGCAAAUCCGGAAAAUCAAGGCUGAGGCGUGAUGACGAGGCACUACGGUGCUGAAGCAACAAAUGCCCUGCUUCCAGGAAAAGCCUCUAAGCAUCAGGUAACAUCAAAUCGUACCCCAAACCGACACAGGUGGUCAGGUAGAGAAUACCAAGGCGCUUGAGAGAACUCGGGUGAAGGAACUAGGCAAAAUGGUGCCGUAACUUCGGGAGAAGGCACGCUGAUAUGUAGGUGAAGCGACUUGCUCGUGGAGCUGAAAUCAGUCGAAGAUACCAGCUGGCUGCAACUGUUUAUUAAAAACACAGCACUGUGCAAACACGAAAGUGGACGUAUACGGUGUGACGCCUGCCCGGUGCCGGAAGGUUAAUUGAUGGGGUUAGCGCAAGCGAAGCUCUUGAUCGAAGCCCCGGUAAACGGCGGCCGUAACUAUAACGGUCCUAAGGUAGCGAAAUUCCUUGUCGGGUAAGUUCCGACCUGCACGAAUGGCGUAAUGAUGGCCAGGCUGUCUCCACCCGAGACUCAGUGAAAUUGAACUCGCUGUGAAGAUGCAGUGUACCCGCGGCAAGACGGAAAGACCCCGUGAACCUUUACUAUAGCUUGACACUGAACAUUGAGCCUUGAUGUGUAGGAUAGGUGGGAGGCUUUGAAGUGUGGACGCCAGUCUGCAUGGAGCCGACCUUGAAAUACCACCCUUUAAUGUUUGAUGUUCUAACGUUGGCCCCUGAUCGGGGUUGCGGACAGUGUCUGGUGGGUAGUUUGACUGGGGCGGUCUCCUCCUAAAGAGUAACGGAGGAGCACGAAGGUUGGCUAAUCCUGGUCGGACAUCAGGAGGUUAGUGCAAUGGCAUAAGCCAGCUUGACUGCGAGCGUGACGGCGCGAGCAGGUGCGAAAGCAGGUCAUAGUGAUCCGGUGGUUCUGAAUGGAAGGGCCAUCGCUCAACGGAUAAAAGGUACUCCGGGGAUAACAGGCUGAUACCGCCCAAGAGUUCAUAUCGACGGCGGUGUUUGGCACCUCGAUGUCGGCUCAUCACAUCCUGGGGCUGAAGUAGGUCCCAAGGGUAUGGCUGUUCGCCAUUUAAAGUGGUACGCGAGCUGGGUUUAGAACGUCGUGAGACAGUUCGGUCCCUAUCUGCCGUGGGCGCUGGAGAACUGAGGGGGGCUGCUCCUAGUACGAGAGGACCGGAGUGGACGCAUCACUGGUGUUCGGGUUGUCAUGCCAAUGGCACUGCCCGGUAGCUAAAUGCGGAAGAGAUAAGUGCUGAAAGCAUCUAAGCACGAAACUUGCCCCGAGAUGAGUUCUCCCUGACUCCUUGAGAGUCCUGAAGGAACGUUGAAGACGACGACGUUGAUAGGCCGGGUGUGUAAGCGCAGCGAUGCGUUGAGCUAACCGGUACUAAUGAACCGUGAGGCUUAACCUU